AGUUUGAUCAUGGCUCAGAUUGAACGCUGGCGGCAUGCCUUACACAUGCAAGUCGAACGGCAGCACGGGGAGCUUGCUCCUUGUGGCGAGUGGCGAACGGGUGAGUAAUACAUCGGAACGUACCCUGAAGUGGGGGAUAACGUAGCGAAAGUUACGCUAAUACCGCAUAUUCUGUGAGCAGGAAAGAGGGGGAUCGCAAGACCUCUUGCUUUAGGAGCGGCCGAUGUCGGAUUAGCUAGUUGGUGAGGUAAAGGCUCACCAAGGCGACGAUCCGUAGCGGGUCUGAGAGGAUGAUCCGCCACACUGGGACUGAGACACGGCCCAGACUCCUACGGGAGGCAGCAGUGGGGAAUUUUGGACAAUGGGCGCAAGCCUGAUCCAGCCAUGCCGCGUGAGUGAAGAAGGCCUUCGGGUUGUAAAGCUCUUUCGGUGGGGAAGAAAUUGCUUCGGUUAAUACCUGGAGUAGAUGACGGUACCCGCAUAAGAAGCACCGGCUAACUACGUG
This 505-nucleotide ribosomal RNA is filed under the name uncultured bacterium. Its description in RNAcentral is "bacterial SSU rRNA". It matches the Rfam family "Bacterial small subunit ribosomal RNA", at positions 10 to 507 of the family's 1533-position model. The record is from RNAcentral.